UUUGCCUACGGGGGGCAGCAGUGGGGAAUAUUGCACAAUGGGGGAAACCCUGAUGCAGCGACGCCGCGUGAGCGAAGAAGUAUUUCGGUAUGUAAAGCUCUAUCAGCAGGGAAGAAAAUGACGGUACCUGACUAAGAAGCCCCGGCUAAAUACGUGCCAGCAGCCGCGGUAAUACGUAUGGGGCAAGCGUUAUCUGGAUUUACUGGGUGUAAAGGGAGCGUAGACGGCAGUGCAAGUCUGAAGUGAAAGGCAAGGGCUCAACCUUUGGACUGCUUUGGAAACUGUGCUGCUAGAGUGUCGGAGAG
This 305-nucleotide ribosomal RNA is filed under the name uncultured bacterium. Its description in RNAcentral is "bacterial SSU rRNA". It matches the Rfam family "Bacterial small subunit ribosomal RNA", at positions 334 to 656 of the family's 1533-position model. The record is from RNAcentral.